Dipodomys ordii (Ord's kangaroo rat) is the source of this 72-nucleotide non-coding RNA. NCBI's taxonomy places the organism in Eukaryota, Metazoa, Chordata, Mammalia, Rodentia, Heteromyidae. The record is from Rfam.
GGGAAAGUGGCUCAGUGGUAGAGUGUUUGCCUCAUAUGCAGGAGGCCCUGGGUUCAAUUCCUCAGCACUCCA